This 393-nucleotide ribosomal RNA is filed under the name uncultured bacterium. RNAcentral's name for it is "partial 16S ribosomal RNA". It matches the Rfam family "Bacterial small subunit ribosomal RNA", at positions 523 to 918 of the family's 1533-position model. The record is from RNAcentral.
AUACGGAGGAUGCGAGCGUUAUCCGGAUUUAUUGGGUUUAAAGGGAGCGUAGGUGGAUUGUUAAGUCAGUUGUGAAAGUUUGCGGCUCAACCGUAAAAUUGCAGUUGAAACUGGCAGUCUUGAGUACAGUAGAGGUGGGCGGAAUUCGUGGUGUAGCGGUGAAAUGCUUAGAUAUCACGAAGAACUCCGAUUGCGAAGGCAGCUCACUAGCCUGUUACUGACACUGAUGCUCGAAAGUGUGGGUAUCAAACAGGAUUAGAUACCCUGGUAGUCCACACAGUAAACGAUGAAUACUCGCUGUUUGCGAUAUACAGUAAGCGGCCAAGCGAAAGCAUUAAGUAUUCCACCUGGGGAGUACGCCGGCAACGGUGAAACUCAAAUGAAUUGACGGGG